Molecule: long non-coding RNA, 2322 nt
Organism: Takifugu rubripes (torafugu)
Lineage: Eukaryota; Metazoa; Chordata; Actinopteri; Tetraodontiformes; Tetraodontidae
Source: Ensembl
CUACGUUCCCGCUACGUUGUCGCUACGUUGUCGCUACGUUGUCGCUACGUUCCCGCUGCGUUCCCGCUACGUUGUCGCUACGUUCCCGCUGCGUUCCCGCUACGUUCUCGCUACGUUCCCGCUACGUUCUCGCUACGUUCCCGCUGCGUUCUCGCUAUGUUCUCGCUACGUUCCCGCUGCGUUCUCGCUAUGUUCUCGCCACGCGACGAGUGCAAGUGAAGCGUUUAGUGGGUCGUCUUUGUUUUCCCGACGUGUUUACUGGACCUGAGAAGUUAGAGAGAUUUGAUGUUUGACCCAGCUAGCAUGAUCAUAUCAUUGAGGUUAGCUAUAUAGCGCGAGCAGCGCCGCUUUAUGCUAACGUCAGGGCUGUGUGACAGCAUGAAGUAGAUGAUGAAUAACUGCUGGUGUUUUUCAGACAUGAUCUUGAACUGGUCUUGACUGUGUAAAUCCUCCCAGAGAUUCAAAACUUUGCACAACAGAAUGUUUCUGCACUUGUUCCAAUCAUCCAUUAGCUGCUUUUAGCUCCCAACGGUCACUAAUUUCACUCUCGAUGUUGUUUUUAUAAACGCUGGCGAAGCGUUAACGUCGUCGUAACCUGUUGAGUCGGACAAAAGUGCCAAACCCAGAAGGAAAGUCUGUGAAGGUGCUGCGGCUGCGUCUGCUCCCGGCCCGUUUCCACGUGGGCCCGUUUCCACGUGGGCCCGUUUCCACGUGGGCCCGUUUCCACGUGGACCCGUUUCCCGUGGGCUCGUUUCCACGUGGACCCGUUUCCACGUGGGCCUGUGCUAAGGUGCCUGUGCUAAGGUGCCUGUGCUAAGGUGCACGUGCUAAGGUGCCCGUGCUAAGGUGCCCGUGCUAAGGUGCCUGUGCUAAGGUGCACGUGCUAAGGUGCCUGUGCUAAGGUGCCCGUGCUAAGGUGCCCGUGCUAAGGUGCCCGUGGCGGCGCCUCCACAGACUUGGGCUCAGUAGCUGCGCGGCGUUGCGUCUCCUCGCCGCUUGGUCACCCUGCAGCGCUGCAACAGGUGCUGCGUCACGCUUUGCUUCAGUCGUCCAUAUUUGCCUGUGUCAGUGUAUCGUUAUCGUGUUUGUGACAUCAUUAAUGGCCCUUCGGUUGUUUUAAACGUUCAGUUGUUUAGUGUUAUUUAGUGACCUUUGUGGGAGGAGCCAGACAGGACACAGGCGGACGCAUCAUUUCAGGUAGCUUGGAGCUGACUUAAAAUGCACAAGUUUGACUUUUAAAGGAAAAUACAAAGACAUAAGGAUGAUUUUAAGGAAUUGAAACAAUGUAAAGGUGGAAAUACUUCCCUUAUCUGGUUCCUGUUAGCAGCAUAAUCUCCGUGUGUGUAGACGUUGGUUAGAAGAAGGUGAGCACUGAUGUUGGAGGCCACUGGAGAUGAUCUACCUCAAACUGUCACUGAGGCUUGGAGACGUGGAGUCACGUCUUCUCUGAGACCAUGUUCAUGAAAGGAAGCAGAACCUUCAGAGAGCAGCAGACUGGUGUGUUUGUUUGUGGGGGGACUUCUGGGCUGCGCACCCUAAACGCUAGCAGUUAGCUCAGCCAUUUAGCAUCUUUAGCAUCUCCUGAGGGGAGGUCAUGGCUAGAAAGAGAUCAGGUUUAGAGGCGUGCGUGUGUGUGUGUGUGUGUGCGUGUGUGUUCUGCUGCUGUUUCUGAAGCAGGCCAGGUGUGCUCACAUGUAGAUGAAGGUAGCCAUAUAAUUGUAUCGUGCCUCUGAGUAAUUAUUAAAAAAUGCUGAAAUAAAUGAACGAAUGCAGUCGUGUCCUUCUGUCCGUCCACUCGCUCCUUGACAGUUGUUGCUAAAUGAUGAUGUCAAGCAUCUCCAGCAGCAUCUCCAGCAGCAUCUCCAGCAGCAUCUCCAGCAGCACCCACCUUGGCUCUAUGUGAGGAUCUGGCUCAUCAGGUCCUCUGGGUCCUCCUGAUCCUCCUCCUGAUCCUCCUCCUGAUCCUCCACUAGAGAAGAAGCAGCUUCCCGACAACACAGAAGCUUCAAGUGAAAACUGGCGAGUUUUCUCCAUUAGCACCGGGGGCUGUGUGCGCGUGCGUGUGUGGAAUUUCCGGACCUCACUUCCCUCCUCUGUCCAGCAGAGGGCGACACCGCUGCAACCUUUUGCAGAGGUUUGAUCAGCUCGGAUCUGUUCCGGUAUUUAUGAGCCUCCGGACCAGAGCGACCCCGCCCCCCUCCCCGCGUGACCACGACACCUAAAUGAUGUUUAGUGUCCGGACACAUUCCUAAAUAAUCGUGUUUAAGAGCACGUGAUGCGUGAGGCCACUGUACAACACACACUUCUUUAUCCUGACUCGAA